GAUGAACGCUGGCGGCGUGCCUAAUACAUGCAAGUCGAGCGAACGGACGAGAAGCUUGCUUCUCUGAUGUUAGCGGCGGACGGGUGAGUAACACGUGGAUAACCUACCUAUAAGACUGGGAUAACUUCGGGAAACCGGAGCUAAUACCGGAUAAUAUUAUGAACCGCAUGGUUCAAAAGUGAAAGACGGUCUUGCUGUCACUUAUAGAUGGAUCCGCGCUGCAUUAGCUAGUUGGUAAGGUAACGGCUUACCAAGGCAACGAUGCAUAGCCGACCUGAGAGGGUGAUCGGCCACACUGGAACUGAGACACGGUCCAGACUCCUACGGGAGGCAGCAGUAGGGAAUCUUCCGCAAUGGGCGAAAGCCUGACGGAGCAACGCCGCGUGAGUGAUGAAGGUCUUCGGAUCGUAAAACUCUGUUAUUAGGGAAGAACAUAUGUGUAAGUAACUGUGCACAUCUUGACGGUACCUAAUUAGAAAGCCACGGCUAACUACGUG
RNAcentral lists this ribosomal RNA (497 nucleotides) under uncultured bacterium. RNAcentral describes it as "partial 16S ribosomal RNA". It matches the Rfam family "Bacterial small subunit ribosomal RNA", at positions 28 to 507 of the family's 1533-position model. The record is from RNAcentral.